UACGAGGGGGGCAAGCGUUGUUCGGAAUUAUUGGGCGUAAAGGGUGCGUAGGCGGUUUGGUAAGUCUUAUGUGAAAUCUACAGGCUCAACUUGUAGUCUGCAUGAGAAACUGCCGGGCUUGAGUAUGGGAGAGGUGAGUGGAAUUCCUGGUGUAGCGGUGAAAUGCGUAGAGAUCGGGCGGAACACCAGCGGCGAAGGCGGCAUCCUGGCCCUAUCCUGACGCUGAGGCGCGAGAGCGUGGGGAGCAAACCGG
This 253-nucleotide ribosomal RNA is filed under the name uncultured bacterium. Its description in RNAcentral is "partial 16S ribosomal RNA". It matches the Rfam family "Bacterial small subunit ribosomal RNA", at positions 524 to 776 of the family's 1533-position model. The record is from RNAcentral.